RNAcentral lists this long non-coding RNA (641 nucleotides) under Lathyrus oleraceus (garden pea). Its description in RNAcentral is "Pisum sativum (pea) long non-coding RNA (PSAT_LNC020733)". Lineage: Eukaryota; Viridiplantae; Streptophyta; Magnoliopsida; Fabales; Fabaceae. The record is from RNAcentral.
ACCACAAAAACGAAACCCUAAUCCUUCACAAACUCCCUUCUAACCUUCGGGACACCGCCUACACGGAUCUCUCCACUUCAAACGUCGCCGACAACCACCGACGUCGCCUCCGACGUAUCGUCCUUCCGCUUUCACCGCACGGUAACUCUCUUUUUGCUUUGCCGUUCGGUUCGGUAUUCCGAUGUUGACGGUUUUCUUUGAACAUGAUUUUUCCUUGUAAAAAAAAAUUGGAAAGACAAAGAUCGUGAGCGAGAGAUUUUGAAAACAGAAAAUUGAUUACGGGAGAUGGCGAUUUUUAUUUGAAGCCAUGGCUAUGGGUGUAUCGAGAGAGUGAUUGCCGAUGGAAUGAAUUUAUUUUCCUCAAAUGUUUGUUUUGUUUGUAUGAAAAGCGUGAGAGAGGAAGAGAUGAAAUUGAGAGUGAGAAGCGUAUUGUUUUUUAUUUACCUUCUGCUGUACUGUCAUUAGCGGAGAGAGAUUAAAGGUUUAAUUUGUUAUUUAAUUUAUAAUGUUAAUAAGCUAGGACACAUGUCAUUAUCUGGAUAGUAGGUUUUGUUAAUUUGAAAAAAUAUCUCUUUCCCUCAUCAAUGUGCCGCCCCCGUUGAUUUUUUCUAUGUCUUUUUUUAAAAAAAAAUUAUUAUUUA